This 379-nucleotide unclassified non-coding RNA is filed under the name plant metagenome. RNAcentral describes it as "partial contains 5.8S ribosomal RNA, internal transcribed spacer 2, and large subunit ribosomal RNA". The stretch from base 1 to 106 matches the Rfam family "5.8S ribosomal RNA", at positions 49 to 154 of the family's 154-position model. The record is from RNAcentral.
CGAAAUGCGAUAAGUAAUGUGAAUUGCAGAAUUCAGUGAAUCAUCGAAUCUUUGAACGCACCUUGCGCUCCUUGGUAUUCCUUGGAGCAUGCCUGUUUGAGUAUCAUGAAAUCUUCAAAGUAAAUCUUUUGUUAACUCAAUUGGUUUCUACUUUGGUAUUGGAGGUCUUUGCAGCUUCACACCUGCUCCUCUUUGUUCAUUAGCUGGAUCUCAGUGUUAUGCUUGGUUCCACUCGGCGUGAUAAGUUAUCUAUCGCCGAGGACACUGUAAAAGGUGGCCAAGGUAAAUGCAGAUGAACCGCUUCUAAUAGUCCAUUGACUUGGACAAUACUUUUAUGAUCUGAUCUCAAAUCAGGUAGGACUACCCGCUGAACUUAAGC